Molecule: unclassified non-coding RNA, 7195 nt
Filed under: Leishmania donovani
Lineage: Eukaryota; Euglenozoa; Kinetoplastea; Trypanosomatida; Trypanosomatidae
Description: gene:LdHU3.34.2260(CDS-product:hypothetical_prote in_conserved)
Source: RNAcentral
AGGGUCACGCUCAUUCCGCCAACCCCAUUUUCUUCCACCCCCUGCCCUGCCGCUCCUACUCCAACCGAGAAAAAAAGGAACGAGACAGUGCCAGUGCUGUGUGUCGGUGCACCCCCCACCACCACCAAAAAAAAAAUAAAGGUAGUUUUCUCAACACCCAUCAGCAAACUGGAGAGACGAGGAACUGCAUUGUAGAAACCCGAACAUAGAGAGAGAGUCACACGAGUCUGUUUGCGGGUAGAGGCACAUUUUCGAGUGCGAGCGCGUCCCGCAUGCGCGCCGAUCGUCGUUGAAGGCGCCGCCGUAUUCGUUCUCGCACUUGCUCGCGCUUUCUCUCCUUCCAUCCGCGCGUGCGUGGCAGCAGAGUCCCCUUCUUUUCUGUUCCGCUCCUCUUCUGUCUUCCCCACAGGGUGCUCCCUCCCUCUCUGUCUGUAACUGUCUGUCCCCUCGAUUCAAGCAGGCGCUGAUUUCGCAAGGAACGUCUUUGUCGUGUGCGAGUCUUGUCUGGGUGUGCCUGUUUGGUGUGUGGGUCACUACCUCAUUGCUUUUCUUCUUUUGUUUGGGGCGUUUGUCUCGCUUCUGGAAGUGAUCGGAGUCUGUCCCCCAGCCACCCUCAUCAAACACGGCACGCGCACCUUUUCUUUUUUUUCUCCGAGGUGGAGGCUCAAUCUUGGUCCCUUCUUCCCUCUUCUCCCCUCUUUCACUCUGGCCCGCCUCGUUCUCUGGACCCGCAUACAGACCACAAAAGGGGGAAGCGGAGGCAACAACAACAAAAAAAAAGGAAACCAGAAAGCCAACAGGAUUGACGCGCACCCUCCUGAGCGACGACGCAGAGACGCACGCGUAUAUUUGUCGACACAGAGGCAUUCGGUGCAGUGGACACUCGACUACGCUCACAUGAAACAAAACCGAUACGGAAACGAAGCCAAACGAGAUCCACAAGAGUAGCUAUUUACGUGUAGAAGAAAUAUAUAUGUUUAUGUGUGUACGCGGGCCCCCUAUUUGUUGGCGCUCUUCUCCUUGCGUCUGUGCUCCUCUUGUUUGGUGCGUGUACACCCCUUGUCCUUCGUCUUCAUUUCUUCUUGCCGUUGGUGCGGUCUCUGAUCUCUUCUCGCGGGACGGUAGGCCGAGCACGCCACUCCAGUGAAGCCGACGUGCUUGUUGCUGCUCCCACCCACCCAUCCCUUUCUCUUUUUUGAUUUUCUGCAUCUUUUUCGACGACCUUCCUCCCUCAACCUUCACCACCCCUGACUCUCUCCUUGUUUUUCCCAUUCGUUUUUGGUUCCUUGCACUCUUUUUUAGGGGUGUGUGUUGGGUGGGCGGGUGCGAACUUCCCUCCUUUCUGUUUAGCCUCGUCUUUACCGCACAGCUGCUCCUGAGUUUCCCCUUGACCUAGCGUUUUUUGUGACUCUGGUGGACUGGGUGCGUGCGCUUUAGUGCUCGUGUGCUGUCAUCCAUCUUUCCCGCCCUUCCUCCUCAUCUUCAUUGCUUAUCAACGUUCUCGUCACCGGUGGCCUCGUCGACCGUGCAGCACAGCCGCUUUUGUUGAAACUUUCGUCUGGCGUGUGUUUGUUUGUUUGUUUCACUCACCUCUCCCACCAACCCCCUCCCCAAACCUCACUAGCACUCACGAGAGCGACCAGAUCCCUUUCUUGACCAAUCUGCUUUCUGUUUUUUUUUUCGUUUCGUCCAGCCUCUGUCCCGCGGUGUCCUAUUCUUUGUUGUUUUCGCUUUUGAGAUUGUGUGUGUGUGUGUGCAGGUAUGUGUAUCUGUGCGCGUGUGUGUGCCUCUCCGCUAUUUCUUCUUCGUUCUCCAUUGUUUCUGUGGCGGUGCCGGUAAGUCCGAUUCAUUUCUCUCGUAUUCGACUGUCGAGUGCCGUUUGACUUCACUCUCCGCACACACGCACACACACACACGCACCAUCUCAACUUCUCUUUUCCUUAUUUUCUCGCGUGUUCCUGAUAUCCCCCUCUCCUCUUUGUGGUUGUUGCUCGGUGCAGGUACGUGUGUGUGUUUUUUUUCCCAUUCUCUAUUACACUUUUGCGUGCGGUGGGCAAAAGCUGCGGGUUCGCCCACGUUUUUCUUUUGUUUCUUACCUUCCUUUUCUGUCUCACACACACCGUCCCCCUUUCUCUUUCCCUUUUUAUUUUGUGGUUUUGAUUCACUCGUGCUCUUCCUGCGGUUGUUCUCUCUCUCUCUUGUAAACUGUGCUGAUGAUCAGCACUGAUCGAUAGCAAGGUUUAUCUUGCCGUUUGCUUGCUUGUGUGCUUCAUUGUCGCUGUGGGUGCUUCUGCUUGUGGGUGCUUGUGGGUGUGCGCGCGGCUUUCUAUCCGAAGACACAACGUCAAGAGAAUUGAGAGGGCAACUCAAGACGUUACAUUUUCCGCUAUCUGUUUCUUCGUCUUGCUGUUGUUCUGAUUAUUAUCUCUUUUCGCCCUUGUCUACCUUCACACGCUCGUCAUCUUGUUUUCUUGUUGUGUCCUUGUGCGGUCACGCGUGUACCCCUAUUAGCACAAUCUGUUUUGCGGCGCUUUUCAGGCAUUCUUUUUCCUAUUGUGCGCAGCACCUUCGUCGACGAAGUCCUUUGCCUUGUCGCCUCUUCCCUCGGCCCUCAAUGGAGCCCGAAAAGUGUGAAGCCUCCGCAGCCGCGGCAGCUGGGUCAGAGACGCCACCACAGGCGCAUACCAUCCGCGACCCCAUCGACCCUCGGCAGGAGCUGGUGAGCCCCUCGUCUAACAACGACUCAUACUAUCACAGCCUGCGGGCAGAGGAUCAGAGCCGCGGCGUUUUGAGCUCGUUGCCCUCAUCGGCCAACGCAUCCGCUUCAACAUACGGACCAGGGCAGGCCGACUUUGGCGUCUCAAAGGGACACACAGCGGCGUUUCAGCAACCGCAGGGUCGCGCCGAACAUACCGUGAAAGGCAGCUUUAACCACGCCAACCCCAAGGCUCCGCAGCAGCGCAUGCAAGGCUCCACGCCACUGACCCCACCCCCGCCAACGUCUACGGUGAAGACAGUCAACUGCAUCUACACCCCGCUCCACCUCGACUCGCAGCUCCUCGCAUCCCCAUGGCCAGGAUACGGGUGGCCAGCAGUACACGCACCAUCACCCACACGCGCGGGAGGGGCUUCGGCCGCAGUACCGCUAGCCUCAUACUGGAACGCCAACUCGAGCCCGAUGCCCUACCCAUCGGGAUCGCCGACGGCCUACAACAGCGGCUGCCGUAUCAUUUCACCCUCUAUACAGUCUCUUCGGUUAGUGCCGCCACACCAGCAGCAUGGCAAUGACGGCGCCUCGCCGGCGCAGCUGAGCUUUUCGAACUUGGGUCACGAUAACAGCUUCCUUGCGGCAUCCUCGUCCUUCGCUUCCCCUUCGAGUCUUGGAGUCGUGCAUUCCACCAUCCUCGACGCACCGCUGCAAGUUUCGCUCAUGCCGCCGCCGUACCGCGGAGACCGGCCGCUCUUCAGCUUCGGCAACUCCAUUAUGCAGUCAGCCCCCUUCACCCACACGUUGCCGACGUCGACCUCGCGCGGUCGCUCCAUCUACCUUGAUGCAAUGAUGGAGCUGGCGCACCACAAGAGCGAGGUGGACAACCCGCUCGCCGCUGUGGGCAGCGGUGCUUCUUACGGGCACGACACGAACCCACUCAGAGGCAGCGGUAUCACCUCCUCGUUCGGGGAUGUGGCGGCCGCUGGCGGGCCAUCUGACGCGCAUCUGUGCAGCUUCGCUGUUUCGGCCUCGAGCGAAGAUGUCUCUGUCAGCAACACAGAGAUCCUGGUCGGCAUGGGAAACGUGGACUGGCGGCGUCUCGAGCGGCCUUCGCCGGGGAACUCGUCUUUGGUGGAUCAGGUGACCGCACGGUCAGGCAUCCAGCGAACGGGAUCGCUUGGCAGCCACGCAAACACUCUCGAUAAUGAGAGCGACGGUAUCGAUUUCGGUGACGAGGGAGAGGAUGGCACAGAGAAGGCCCGGCAGAGUUUCAACAGAACACCCGAGGCACUGGCUUCCACGGGGCGGGGCACGCAAGCUGCGGUCGCCGUUGCCACCGCUGCGGACCUGGGACAGGCGGCUUCGCAGACCUUUGGGGAGGCAAGCUUGCCGGCGCCGCUCGAACACACCGCGCACCCUGACGGGGCAAAGGGCAAGGAAGGUGGCUUCUCAUUGCCAGCGUCUGCACUCGCUUGCAGUGACGGUUCUGGCACGAUGGCUGCGGCCGCUUCGGUCACGGCGCUGUCCCGGGGCAGAGCGUGCGAGAUCGCCACGCCACUUGUGAACCUGCCCCUCCGCCCAAGUAUUGGACCGACGUCCCCUGCAAGCGCUUCGGCUGUUGCAACAGCGGGCCGUGCCAUUUACGAUCUCCAUCUCUUCACGCCGUCGCCCGUUGAUCAAGGCGUGCACGUGUUUGGCACCAUGCGCGACAGCGCCACUCGCAACAGCCCUUCAGAGCAGAGCACCUCCACCCUGAGCCUCAUCCCCGCUGUCGGGGUGUGGCAGGCCUCGCCGGCGAUCAUGUCGGCGUGGCACUCCUCGAAUCUCACGCCGACGACGGCGCUUAGCACAGCGCACGCACUGCGCGACUUGCUAGAGAUGCUCCGCCUGCUUCAGAGCGACAUCGAAAACGUAGGCAAUCAACUCUCUGUGUACGAGCAGAUGGUGCGUCGUUGGAUCAGAAACACACUGAGUAUGCUGCUGCUACUAACUACGGAGCUGGCGCACAGCGUCGCCCUUGCAGUAAUGGAGGUGCCGGAGGGCGCGGCGGAUCAGGCGGCCGCGUACACGCGACUGCAAGUAGACAUUGCCGCAGCCGCCGCGUCGUGUAAUGAGCCGCUGCACGCGACCAUUGAUGCCGUAAAGCGGGAGCAAGCGAACCUGGAGCCGGUGCUGCUGACGACCAUGCUCGCACGGGGUGCUAUCGCGUCGCUUCUGCAAUUUUUGGAAAGGCCCUACGUGACUGCCAGGGCGCAGAGCGGCGCAACCACCGCUACAACAAGGAUGUUGAAUGGCAUGUGCGCGCCGUCAAAGCAGUGCGGCGGUCGGGGUCCUUAUGGCCCGGCGGCCCCGGCCGUGACGCCGCUGACGCCAGAGCGCAUCGAGGAGCUGAUGGACAAUAAAAUCCUGCAGGAAGAGCUAAACAUCAACUGGCCGCAAUUCAGGUCGUCAUACAACCGCCAGGUUCUGCGCUACCUCUGUCUACGCGUGCUCUACGUCGCUCUGAGCAGGGACGACAGCAGUGUCGGUGACGUCGCUACAGAACAGCAGGGCUGCCGCACCACCACCGACGCAGACGCACCUGCCACUGCGUCCACCGCUCUGGAGACGGUUGUGUCGGCGUGGGUGGAAGGGCAGGUGCUUCAGUGGACCGCGCAGCAGCCCGCCAUCACCCUGCAGCACCGUCAUGCAACCCCCACCGACUCCAAGCUCGACGAUGCCGACGGGGCGGCCGUUCGCGAAGGUCUGUGCGGGGAGCUCCCGUCCUUCGAGCGCAUUGCAGAGGUCUUCAGCGUCUUUGGCGAGAGUGAGGGCUGGCGGUGGUGGUACAACCUGCUGGGCGACGCCAUGUCGUGCAACUUGCACGUGCGCGAUAGCAGGCGCAUCUACGAUUACGUCGAGAAGCAGCUCAUGGACUCGCCGGCGGCGCCAGCCGUGGCGGUGCGGACUGCGUUGUCGCUCCACGAGGUAAAGGCGAAGGAAGUGGAAGUGGAACUCGAGAAGGUUGAGUGUAGGCUAUCGGCUAUGGAGGAGAGCGGCAAGGCGCAACGCGUCAACAUCCUGCAGCACAUUCUGCGCCGCAUCUUUGUUCUCAGCUUGGUCUCCUCGGUGCAGCGGACGCUUGGCAAGGACACGCCCGUAUCGGGGGCACAGCUUGCCACGUACGUGCAGCUGCAGCGCAAGUCGCUGGAGGAUGUGGAGGCGCAGCUGAGCGCGCAUCAUACAGAGUGCACUGUUCACUCCAAGCACAUCCGCACGUUUGUGUCGCUCUUCCCCGAUACUGCGAGUGCCGCACAGGCGCCAACCCAGUCGAGACAGUGGGCGCUCAGCAAGAGCGCUGCCAUGAGUGGCAUGCGUACGCACACGAAUCAACCGCAACACGGCCCUUUUUCGCGCUCAUCGCCGGAUCUGCAGGCAGAUGAUACUCCCCUCCAGUGGAACUGUCCGACCGUCGCGUCACUCGCGGUGCUGCUCGCCCGCCCGAGGCCUGACAGUGACGCUAUGCACCGCCGCGAAGGCUUCCCUGCAGCGACGGCGGCGGACGCGAACACGGAGGGCAGCGAAGAGGAUCGCACGCGCGCUGCAGCGGCAUUGGCUCGCGAUGUCGCAACGCGGUUGGUGGCGACAGUGCAAAGCCUCUGUGCACUCCUGCAGUCUGACGUAGAUGUCACGGAGUCGCACCAGGCGUACUGCGCCUCGCCGGCAAAGAUGUCUGCGCCGUCGACGCGGGCGCUUCGCCGCCUGCAAGCUUCCCUUUCCGAAGCCAAUCAUUGCAUUCGAGUGUGCAUAACAUCUCUGCACACUGUCGACUGAGGCCUGAAGGUGUGGCAGACAGAAGGAAGGCGGACCCCACGCCGGUGGCGGCAUGUCAUUCGUACGCGAAUGUGGGUGUUUCUCACAGAGAGAGAGUCUCUCUCUGCUAGUUUUGCCCCGCCCCACCUAACUCCAAGGAGCUUCCCACCAACCCACACCCACACACGCCCGCUCUCCUCCCCUUUUUCCACCUUUUCGUCUUAUCUGUGUUUCUUUUCUCAUUUUCUUUGUGUGGGCCGUUAAACGUUGACGAACGCCAGUGCCCACUCGCGUGGCUGCCAGCGUCUGUUGUGGGUCGCUAUCCUACUUGAUGGAGGCCUUUGGUGUCUUUCCCUCUCUGAUUGGUCUCUCUUCCCCCCUCCAGUCUUUCCUUCCUCGCUUGCUCCUCCCUCUCCAUCUCCCUCUCCUUGUGUCUUGCGCGCUGUUCUCAUUAUUCGCUCUCCUUUUCUUUGUGUGUGUGUGUGUGCGUGCGUGUGCGUGAUGGUGAUGAUGGACUGAUCGAGGCCGUCGUAUUGCUCACAGUAGCGAACUCCCGCCCGCGAAACAAGUACAGGGACAAAGGGAAGACAUCUAGUUAUAUAUAUAUAUUGUGAAAAGUUGAAUAGAGAUGGGAUGAGAGGCAUGAUAUCAGCCCCCUGUCGCCGCCGCCGCUGCUGCUGUUGUGAUGUUCAU